GACGAACGCUGGCGGCGUGCUUAACACAUGCAAGUCGAACGGAAAGGCCCUGCUUUUGUGGGGUGCUCGAGUGGCGAACGGGUGAGUAACACGUGAGUAACCUGCCCUUGACUUUGGGAUAACUUCAGGAAACUGGGGCUAAUACCGGCUAGGAGCUCCUGCUGCAUGGUGGGGGUUGGAAAGUUUAGGCGGUUGGGGAUGGACUCGCGGCUUAUCAGCUUGUUGGUGGGGUAGUGGCUUACCAAGGCUUUGACGGGUAGCCGGCCUGAGCGGGUGGCCGGCCACAUUGGGACUGAGAGACGGCCCAGAGGCCUACGUGAGGCAGAAGUGGGGAAUAUUGCACAAUGGGCGGAAGCCUGAUGCAGCAGCGCCGCGUGCGUGAUGACGGCCUGCGGGUGGUGAACCGCUUUCGCCUGUGACGAAGCGUGAGUGACGGUAAUGGGUAAAGAAGCACCGGCUAACUACGUG
RNAcentral lists this ribosomal RNA (468 nucleotides) under uncultured bacterium. RNAcentral's name for it is "partial 16S ribosomal RNA". It matches the Rfam family "Bacterial small subunit ribosomal RNA", at positions 28 to 507 of the family's 1533-position model. The record is from RNAcentral.